AUUGAACGCUGGCGGCAUGCCUUACACAUGCAAGUCGAACGGCAGCAUGAUCUAGCUUGCUAGAUUGAUGGCGAGUGGCGAACGGGUGAGUAAUACAUCGGAACGUGCCCUGUAGUGGGGGAUAACUAGUCGAAAGAUUAGCUAAUACCGCAUACGACCUGAGGGUGAAAGUGGGGGACCGCAAGGCCUCAUGCUAUAGGAGCGGCCGAUGUCUGAUUAGCUAGUUGGUGAGGUAAAGGCUCACCAAGGCGACGAUCAGUAGCUGGUCUGAGAGGACGAUCAGCCACACUGGGACUGAGACACGGCCCAGACUCCUACGGGAGGCGGCAGUGGGGAAUUUUGGACAAUGGGCGAAAGCCUGAUCCAGCAAUGCCGCGUGUGUGAAGAAGGCCUUCGGGUUGUAAAGCACCUUUGUCCGGAAAGAAAUGGCUCUGGUUAAUACCUGGGGUCGAUGACGGUACCGGAAGAAUAAGGACCGGCUAACUACGUG
Molecule: ribosomal RNA, 490 nt
Filed under: uncultured bacterium
Lineage: Bacteria
Description: partial 16S ribosomal RNA
Rfam family: Bacterial small subunit ribosomal RNA
Source: RNAcentral